UAAAGCUAUGAAAGGUGUAUGCAAAGUUCUUUAUUGGAAUACCCGGUCAAAAAUACCAAAAACAUGGAAUGAGAGGAAAGAUUGGUCGGUUUAUCCCUAUCGUGAUCUUGUGAAGAGGAGGAAUGACAAUGCCACUUGCAAGGGGUACAACUUCAAGAAUCCAACAAGGCUUGCAUAGUUUUUAAUUUCAAGUUUUUGGGUUAAUGAUUAGGGGUUUGGUUUUGCUUUGACUAAAUCUCAAACAAAACUAGCAUUUCAGGAACUGGUGUUUUGUUGACUAUUAAAUUGAUAUAGUCGAUGGAAUGAAUUGAAA
Molecule: long non-coding RNA, 313 nt
Organism: Erigeron canadensis
Lineage: Eukaryota; Viridiplantae; Streptophyta; Magnoliopsida; Asterales; Asteraceae
Exons: 3
Source: RefSeq, a predicted model, not a curated record